UUUAUGGAGAGUUUGAUCCUGGCUCAGGAUGAACGCUGGAGGCGUGCCUAAUACAUGCAAGUCGAGCGAACGGACGAGAAGCUUGCUUCUCUGAUGUUAGCGGCGGACGGGUGAGUAACACGUGGAUAACCUACCUAUAAGACUGGGAUAACUUCGGGAAACCG
RNAcentral lists this ribosomal RNA (164 nucleotides) under Staphylococcus aureus. RNAcentral's name for it is "partial 16S ribosomal RNA". It matches the Rfam family "Bacterial small subunit ribosomal RNA", at positions 1 to 159 of the family's 1533-position model. Lineage: Bacteria; Bacillati; Bacillota; Bacilli; Caryophanales; Staphylococcaceae. The record is from RNAcentral.